GAGAGUAUAGCUAAAUGGAAGAGUGCUCACUUCAUGUGUGAGGCCCUGGGUUCAAUACCCAGCAUCACA
This 69-nucleotide transfer RNA is filed under the name Marmota monax (woodchuck). Its description in RNAcentral is "tRNA.Met". Lineage: Eukaryota; Metazoa; Chordata; Mammalia; Rodentia; Sciuridae. The record is from RNAcentral.